GGACGAACGCUGGCGGCGUGCCUAAUACAUGCAAGUCGAACGGUCUUUCUAUGGAAGCUUGCUUCCACUGAGAAGAUAGUGGCGAACGGUGAGUAACACGUGGGUAACCUGCCCAUAAGAGGGGGAUAACAUCCGGAAACGGGUGCUAAUACCGCAUAGUUUUCUUGAUCGCAUGAUCGGGAAAGGAAAGACGGCCUUUGUGCUGUCGCUUAUGGAUGGACCCGCGGCGUAUUAGUUAGUUGGUGAGGUAACGGCUCACCAAGACGAUGAUACGUAGCCGACCUGAGAGGGUGAUCGGCCACAUUGGGACUGAGACACGGCCCAAACUCCUACGGGAGGCAGCAGUAGGGAAUCUUCCGCAAUGGACGAAAGUCUGACGGAGCAACGCCGCGUGAGUGAAGAAAGGUUUUCGGAUCGUAAAACUCUGUUGUCAGAGAAGAACAGGUUGGAGAGUAACUGCUCCAGCCUUGACGGUAUCUGACCAGAAAGCCACGGCUAACUACGUGCCAGCCGCUGC
RNAcentral lists this ribosomal RNA (517 nucleotides) under uncultured bacterium. RNAcentral describes it as "bacterial SSU rRNA". It matches the Rfam family "Bacterial small subunit ribosomal RNA", at positions 27 to 518 of the family's 1533-position model. The record is from RNAcentral.